Molecule: long non-coding RNA, 387 nt
Filed under: Eucalyptus grandis
Lineage: Eukaryota; Viridiplantae; Streptophyta; Magnoliopsida; Myrtales; Myrtaceae
Description: long non-coding RNA (EGRA_LNC000401)
Source: RNAcentral
UUUUGACAGCCAAACAACCAACGCCUAAGGUCUCAAUAACGAUCAAAAAACAAUACUGGAAGUAAGUAUUACUGAUCAAUUCUCUCAUUAUCUUGGCUAAUAAAAUUGUCUCUGUCCAAGCUAACAAAUGGCUAACGGAGAUGAAGAGGCCUAACUGUUCCUUUUCUGGAAACAAUCAAAUAUUGCAUAACAAGAAAGGAACUCCUACUAAGAAUGUGAUACUUGUUGACAUUUACCAAGAUGGACCCCGACUUCAAAGGGAAGUUUGCUGUAGUCCAGUGACAAAGGAUUUAGAUUCAUUCAUUUUUUAGAAAUGAAGUUAAUGUAAUACCAUUACAUGUGCAAUAUGCCUCCAUGAGAAGUAGUAACUCCAUCUACAAAUCAUCC